RNAcentral lists this ribosomal RNA (548 nucleotides) under Lactifluus multiseparatus. Its description in RNAcentral is "Lactifluus sp. 14 HL-2019 partial large subunit ribosomal RNA". The record is from RNAcentral. Lineage: Eukaryota; Fungi; Basidiomycota; Agaricomycetes; Russulales; Russulaceae.
AACUGCGAGUGAAGCGGGAAARGCUCAAAUUUAAAAUCUGGUGGUCUUUGACCGUCCGAGUUGUAAUUUAGAGAAGCGUCUUCCGCGCCAGACCGUGCACAAGUCUCCUGGAAUGGAGCGUCAUAGAGGGUGAGAAUCCCGUCUUUGGCACGGAACCCCUGGUGCUUUUGUGAUGCGCUCUCAAAGAGUCGAGUUGUUUGGGAAUGCAGCUCAAAAUGGGUGGUGAACUCCAUCUAAAGCUAAAUAUUGGCGAGAGACCGAUAGCGAACAAGUACCGUGAGGGAAAGAUGAAAAGCACUUUGGAAAGAGAGUGAAACAGUACGUGAAAUUGUUGAAAGGGAAACGCUUGGAGUCAGUCGYGUCGGCCAAGACUCAGCCUUGCCUYGGCUUGGUGUACUUCUUGGYUGACGGGCCAGCAUCGAUUUCGUCCCUYAGAUAAUGGCRAGGGAAAGGUGGCACCUUURCRGGUGUGUUAUAGUCUCUYGUCGCAUGUGAGGGGUGGGAUCGAGGAACUCAGCACGCACCUUUUGGUGUCGGGGCUUCGGCCC